RNAcentral lists this ribosomal RNA (1215 nucleotides) under Triticum aestivum (bread wheat). Its description in RNAcentral is "partial small subunit ribosomal RNA". The record is from RNAcentral. Lineage: Eukaryota; Viridiplantae; Streptophyta; Magnoliopsida; Poales; Poaceae.
UGUUUUUCUCCUCCCCUACGGUUUCUGUGGGGAAAAAAAAGCAGCAAGCUCAAGCGGCCAACAAGUCUUUACAGCAUCCCCAUUCCCCAACACCUCCGAUCUAGUAUCCCUCAAAGCUUCCAUGGAGAAGGCGCCAGGCACGAGCAUCGAGGCUAUCAUCCGACGGCUUAGGCUCCACCAGGCGCCUCCCUCCCCUUACUCCGGCGAUCCCUCAACAGCGGCGACCCCCGCCGCAGCCAACCUGUUUCAGCCGCGGAGAGCCGCCGUACUGGUCUGCCUCUUCCACGACGCUGCCGGCGAGCUGCGUGUCCUCCUUACCAAGCGCGCUUCCUCCCUCUCCACCCACUCCGGGGAGGUUGCAUUGCCCGGAGGAAAGGCAGAGGAGGGUGAUGCUGAUGAUGCAGCAACGGCAUUAAGGGAGGCAAAGGAGGAGAUUGGGCUUGAUCCAGCCUUGGUCACUGUCGUCUCCUCGCUUGAGCACUUCUUGUCCAAGCAUCUUCUGGUAGUUGUUCCUGUUGUUGGCAUACUCUCAGAUAUACAGGCUUUCAAACCUGUCCUUAAUGUUGAUGAGGUGGACGACAUUUUUGAUGUACCCCUAGAGAUGUUCCUCAAGGAUGAGCGCAGGAGAUCCGAGGAGCGAGAAUGGAUGGGGCAGGCGUUCACACUUCACCACUUCGAUUAUGAGAAAGGCGACAAGACGUAUGUAAUCUGGGGGCUGACUGCUGGCAUCCUGAUUCACGCGGCUUCAGUUGUAUACCAGCGGCCACCAGACUUUGCUGAGCGAAGGGUACAAUUCAACCUGCCGAAGUACUCACAGGAGUCUUCUCCAAUGCCAUGAUCAGGAUUAGGAUGCGCACUCAGUUACAUGCCUGAUUCAGCACACAGAAGACUACAUACACCAAAAGAAAUGGUAUAGAAUCUAAAAGGUUUCCAAAUCAUGUGUUGUUAUACAAUUCAUUCAUUCUUCUAUGCGCCACGACCCUGCGAUUGAUGUGAAGUGCGAUACCCUGGUGGUUCAGCUGCGACGAUGAUCAUGCAGGCCGGGCCGCAUCAAGCAAUGGAUUACGAUGCAUUCGAUGGUGUGCAGCUUGCCACACACAGCGACUAAAAAUCAAACGUUCGACAAACAUAUUUGUAUUCUAUUCUUUGCAUAAUAAUACAUUGCAAGAACAUUAACAUUCAGAAAAUUAUUUGGUGCUAAUUUGAGUACACUCC